This 1267-nucleotide ribosomal RNA is filed under the name Enterococcus faecium. RNAcentral describes it as "bacterial SSU rRNA". It matches the Rfam family "Bacterial small subunit ribosomal RNA", at positions 73 to 1320 of the family's 1533-position model. Lineage: Bacteria; Bacillati; Bacillota; Bacilli; Lactobacillales; Enterococcaceae. The record is from RNAcentral.
CCGGAGCUUGCUCCACCGGAAAAAGAAGAGUGGCGAACGGGUGAGUAACACGUGGGUAACCUGCCCAUCAGAAGGGGAUAACACUUGGAAACAGGUGCUAAUACCGUAUAACAAUCGAAACCGCAUGGUUUUGAUUUGAAAGGCGCUUUCGGGUGUCGCUGAUGGAUGGACCCGCGGUGCAUUAGCUAGUUGGUGAGGUAACGGCUCACCAAGGCYACGAUGCAUAGCCGACCUGAGAGGGUGAUCGGCCACAUUGGGACUGAGACACGGCCCAAACUCCUACGGGAGGCAGCAGUAGGGAAUCUUCGGCAAUGGACGAAAGUCUGACCGAGCAACGCCGCGUGAGUGAAGAAGGUUUUCGGAUCGUAAAACUCUGUUGUUAGAGAAGAACAAGGAUGAGAGUAACUGUUCAUCCCUUGACGGUAUCUAACCAGAAAGCCACGGCUAACUACGUGCCAGCAGCCGCGGUAAUACGUAGGUGGCAAGCGUUGUCCGGAUUUAUUGGGCGUAAAGCGAGCGCAGGCGGUUUCUUAAGUCUGAUGUGAAAGCCCCCGGCUCAACCGGGGAGGGUCAUUGGAAACUGGGAGACUUGAGUGCAGAAGAGGAGAGUGGAAUUCCAUGUGUAGCGGUGAAAUGCGUAGAUAUAUGGAGGAACACCAGUGGCGAAGGCGGCUCUCUGGUCUGUAACUGACGCUGAGGCUCGAAAGCGUGGGGAGCAAACAGGAUUAGAUACCCUGGUAGUCCACGCCGUAAACGAUGAGUGCUAAGUGUUGGAGGGUUUCCGCCCUUCAGUGCUGCAGCUAACGCAUUAAGCACUCCGCCUGGGGAGUACGACCGCAAGGUUGAAACUCAAAGGAAUUGACGGGGGCCCGCACAAGCGGUGGAGCAUGUGGUUUAAUUCGAAGCAACGCGAAGAACCUUACCAGGUCUUGACAUCCUUUGACCACUCUAGAGAUAGAGCUUCCCCUUCGGGGGCAAAGUGACAGGUGGUGCAUGGUUGUCGUCAGCUCGUGUCGUGAGAUGUUGGGUUAAGUCCCGCAACGAGCGCAACCCUUAUUGUUAGUUGCCAUCAUUYAGUUGGGCACUCUAGCAAGACUGCCGGUGACAAACCGGAGGAAGGUGGGGAUGACGUCAAAUCAUCAUGCCCCUUAUGACCUGGGCUACACACGUGCUACAAUGGGAAGUACAACGAGUCGCGAAGUCGCGAGGCUAAGCUAAUCUCUUAAAGCUUCUCUCAGUUCGGAUUGUAGGCUGCAACUCGCCUACA